ACGUAGGCAGCAAGCGUUGUUCGGAAUUACUGGGCGUAAAGAGUGCGUAGGUGGUUGGCUAAGUUUGGUGUGAAAUCUCCUGGCUUAACUGGGAGGGUGCGCCGAAAACUGGCUGGCUAGAGUGUGGGAGAGGGACGUGGAAUUCCUGGUGUAGCGGUGAAAUGCGUAGAUAUCAGGAGGAACACCUGCGGUGUAGACGGCGUCCUGGACCAUUACUGACACUGAGGCACGAAAGCGUGGGGAGCAAACAG
RNAcentral lists this ribosomal RNA (251 nucleotides) under uncultured prokaryote. RNAcentral's name for it is "partial 16S rRNA". It matches the Rfam family "Bacterial small subunit ribosomal RNA", at positions 525 to 775 of the family's 1533-position model. The record is from RNAcentral.